UUGAAGAGAAGUGGUGAGACUGGGCAUCCUUGUCUUGUUCCAGAUUUUACUGACUUCCCAGCACCAUUUGUUAAAGACUGUCCUUUCUACUUUGAAUGGACUUGGCAAAUUGUCAAAAAUCAUUUGGCCAUAUAGCAAGGACGAAUUCCUUUUCUUCAAGAGGGAAGACCAUCUCAUCAAAAUAGAC
Kogia breviceps (pygmy sperm whale) is the source of this 187-nucleotide non-coding RNA. Lineage: Eukaryota; Metazoa; Chordata; Mammalia; Artiodactyla; Physeteridae. The record is from RefSeq and is a predicted model, not a curated record.